This 61-nucleotide ribosomal RNA is filed under the name Phytophthora nicotianae (black shank of tobacco agent). RNAcentral's name for it is "Phytophthora parasitica partial 28S ribosomal RNA". Lineage: Eukaryota; Oomycota; Peronosporomycetes; Peronosporales; Peronosporaceae. The record is from RNAcentral.
UUGGACCUGAUAUCAGGCAAGAUUACCCGCUGAACUUAAGCAUAUCAAAGCCGGGAGGAAA